CGCGCAGGCGGUUAUACAAGCCUGGUGUGAAAGACCGCAGCUUAACUGCGGGAGCGCGCUGGGAACUGUAUGACUAGAGUUCAAGAGGGGAAGCUGGAAUUCCUGGUGUAGGGGUGAAAUCUGUAGAGAUCAGGAAGAACAUCAGUGGCGAAGGCGAGCUUCUGGCUAUGAACUGACGCUGAGGCGCGAAAGCGUGGGGAGCGAACA
RNAcentral lists this ribosomal RNA (207 nucleotides) under uncultured bacterium. RNAcentral describes it as "partial 16S ribosomal RNA". It matches the Rfam family "Bacterial small subunit ribosomal RNA", at positions 568 to 774 of the family's 1533-position model. The record is from RNAcentral.